Molecule: long non-coding RNA, 3409 nt
Filed under: Haliotis rubra (blacklip abalone)
Lineage: Eukaryota; Metazoa; Mollusca; Gastropoda; Lepetellida; Haliotidae
Description: uncharacterized LOC124257587
Source: RNAcentral
UAUGUCAACCAAGUCAGCAAGCCUCCUCCUCCUCCCUCCCCCUCCCCCCCUCUUUAGCCUCAAGCAUGGGUUAUUGAAGACCAAUUCUAACCCGGAUCUUCACGUGUACCACCAUUUAACAUCAUGAUAGAAAGGGUUAGAAGAAAGUCGCAACGAGUUUCCUGCAUGUCAAGCUUUUGAUUCUUAGACAGUUUUGAUGGUAAGUGUAAAUUGUAAGAUUAGUGAGGUUUCUCUUGAAAUAAAUACUAGACUUGUUUCUAUGGUUUCAAGACAGAUGACCUCUCCCUAUCACCUUGGGUGUAGAACAUCACAGAAAGAUGAGGCCAGUGGAAGGAUUCAGGAUGUUAUUACAUCAACAGAAAGUUGUACCAGCAAUCAUUUAACCAUACAUCUUGUAGGGGCUUCUUUGUUUCACGUGGUUUAUGGAUCCACUGAUAGAAAAAUAUUAUUUCAGGGAAAAUAUUGUUUUUAGGUUAUGUUUGUUAUCCAAAGGUCAAAUGUUUUGAUAGUUUUAUAUUUAUGCAAGUUAUUUGAAAUGCGAUCGACACGAUGUAACACUCUGGAUAUGUGAUCUAAAUAUACUUUAUCUUACAUCUGUACUAUGGGCCAUGUUUCCUGAAUUAUGAAAAGAACUUGAUUAGCAUGUUUUGAUAAUCAAAAAAUACUCCCAGUAUUCAGUACCUCAAAACAAAUACAAUAAAAAACAAAACAAAUUUUAGACUCUAGUGUGAAUUCAAGUUAUUAUUCUAACAAUCAGAACGAGAGUAAAACCAGACUCUAUCUAUUUCUUUGAAUCAAUAAAUCUUGCUCUCACUGUCCUCAACCCCCUGCAAUACUACUGAAAGCAUUUAAUUCGUUUUAUUCUUUUUGUAAACUUCUGGCCUGAUGUUACAGUAAUAAAACGUGUAAAAAUUGAAAUCUGUGUGACAUGUAAUUCGUUGGAGACAACACAGGGUGUGUUCACCACUCAGCAUAAUCAAAGAAACACGUUCAUUGUGAAAGUCAUCGACUUUGUCCAGUAGAUGGUCACUUCUUACGUCUCUUCAAAAUGUCCUAUUUGUUUUAAGUUUCUGUCCAUCUUUGUUUUAGUGUUGUUACAUGGUGUCAGUAAUUCCAGGGCGUUUCUCAUAGCAGUUGUUGAAUGUGGUAGGCAUGCAUUGUUCCGAAUGUCUGGUAAGUAUUUUAAUUGAAUGUGUACGUCCGUCUACUUGGUUAAUUCACUUCUAUUUAUUUAUGGUGAGUUGUUGAAUAGAAUGUGGAAGUUUAACUUGAUAACGUUGGUGAGUUUUUAAUAGAAUGUGUUAGUCCUUCUUUGAUGUGUGUACAGAUCUGUCUAUUUGUGGUGAGUUGUUGAAUAGAAUGUGGAGUAUAACUUGAUAAGAAUGAUGAGAUUUUUUAACAGAAUGUGUACAUCCUUCUGUUUGAUUGCUAUGGAAAUGGUAUUUACUGCUUGCUAUUAAGGUGAGUUGUUGAAUAGAAUGUGUCAGCAUAACCUGGUAACUGGUGAGUUGUUGAAUGUCAGUAGUAGCUUCUGAAGAUUUAUGGAUUUUAGCUUGUUCAUUCUUUCAUUGUAGAUUUAGUGCUGAUUACUGUUAUCACUGUAACCAUAUCUUUCGGCACCACAGAUUUGUAAUACAUCUUGUAUAGUAUUCUCUGCUUCCGUCUUAUGGUGAACUGUUGAAUGGGAUCAGUAACUGUUGCUUUAGUAUCUGAGACAGCUAUCUAUGUUCAAUUUGGUUGGUUGAUUGUUGAAUGAAUCUGUAAAACGGUUAUAAGUAUGGUGAGAAAGAAGACAGAAUUGUCAAUCCAUGUUUGCAGAGUUGAAAGAAUAUGAUAUCUUGCUGAAUUAGUAUGGUGGGAAGCUAUAUUGAAUCAGUAUACUUGUUGAAUGGUGUGGUGAUUGUUGAAUGUAAGUUCCCCAGUUAACAUUGAUGGAACCGGUUAUAUCUUCCCUUGUUUGGUAAGGUGUUGAAUGCAAUCAGUUAUCUUUUCUUAAAUGUAUGGUGAGAUGUUAAAUACAAUCAAAUAUCCUUUCUCAGCUUGUGACGAGAGGUUAAAUGCAAUCAGUUAUCAUUUCUUAGCUUGUAUGGUGAGAUGUUGAAUGCAAUCAAUUAUCCUUUCUUAGCUUGUAUGGUGAGAUGUUGAAUGCAAUCAAUUAUCCUCUCUUAGCUUGUAUGGUGAGAUGUUGAAUGCAAUCAGUUAUCAUUUCUGAAAUGGAUGGUGAGAUGUUGAAUGGAAUCAAGUAUCUUUUCUUAGCUUGUAUGGUGAGAUGUUGAAUUUAAUCAAUUAUCCUUUCUUAGCUUGUAUGGUGAGAUGUUGAAUGCAAUCAGUUAUCAUUUCUGAAAUGGAUGGUGAGAUGUUGAAUGGAAUCAAGUAUCUUUUCUUAGCUUGUAUGGUGAGAUGUUGAAUGCAAUCAGUUAUCAUUUCUGAAAUGGAUGGUGAGAUAUUGAAUGGAAUCAAGUAUCUUUUCUUAGCUUGUGUUUUGAGCUGUUAACUGGUACUGUAGUCCACCUUGGUGAACUGUUAACCAGUACUGUAUACCACCUUGGUGAGCUGUUGACUGGUACUGUAGUCCGCCUUGGUGAACUGUUAACCAGUACUGUAUACCACCAUGGUGAGCUGUUAACCAGUACUGUAGUCCACCAUGGUGAACUGUUAACUGGUACUGUAGUCCACCAUGGUGAGCUGUUAACUGGUUCUGUAGACCACCUUGGUGAGCUGUUGACUGGUACUGUAUACCACCUUGGUGAGCUGUUGACUGGUACUGUAGUCCGCCUUGGUGAACUGUUAACUGGUACUGUAUACCACCAUGGUGAGCUGUUAACCGGUACUGUAGUCCACCAUGGUGAACUGUUAUCUGGUACUGUAGUCAACCAUGGUGAGCUGUUGACUGGUACUGUAGUCCACCUUGGUGAGCUGUUAACUGGUACUGUAGUCCACCAUGGUGAGCUGUUAACUGGUACUGUAGUCCACCAUGGUGAACUGUUAACUGGUACUGUAGUCCACCAUGGUGAACUGUUAACUGGUACUGUAGUCCACCUUGGUGAGCUGUUAACCGGUACUGUAAUCCACCUUGGUGAACUGUUAACUGGUACUGUACUCAACCAUGGUGAACUGUUAACUGGUACUGUAGUCCACCAUGGUGAACUGUUAACUGGUACUGUAGUCCACCUCGGUGAGCUGUUGACUGGUACUGUAGUCCACUUUGUUAGAGUGACUGAUUUCUUCAACCUUUGUUUUCUUAAACGAGUUGUUUCUCUGUGAGUGAUGAGAACGUGCGUCAGGGAUGUUGUUACACAGAACUAGACGACUGCUGUGAGUAAAUGGUUCAUUUCUGAUGAAACUGUUUUAUACUUGUAUGUCUUGUGUUUUAUGCAUUUGUUCAAUAUUAAAAUUUAUAAUUCAUUUG